Molecule: ribosomal RNA, 468 nt
Filed under: uncultured bacterium
Lineage: Bacteria
Description: partial 16S ribosomal RNA
Rfam family: Bacterial small subunit ribosomal RNA
Source: RNAcentral
GACGAACGCUGGCGGCGUGCUUAACACAUGCAAGUCGAACGGAAAGGCCCUGCUUUUGUGGGGUGCUCGAGUGGCGAACGGGGGAGUAACACGUGAGUAACCUGCCCUUGACUUUGGGAUAACUUCAGGAAACUGGGGCUAAUACCGGAUAGGAGCUCCUGCUGCAGGGUGGGGGUUGGAAAGUUUCGGCGGUUGGGGAUGGACUCGCGGCUUAUCAGCUUGUUGGUGGGGUAGUGGCUUAGCAAGGCUUGGACGGGUAGCCGGCCUGAGAGGGUGACCGGCCACAUUGGGCCUGAGAUACGGCCCAGCCUCCUACGGGAGGCAGCAGUGGGGAAUAUUGCACAAUGGGCGGAAGCCUGAUGCAGCACCGCCGCGUGCGGGAUGACGGCCUUCGGGUUGUAAACCGCUUUCGCCUGUGACGAAGCGUGAGUGACGGUAAUGGGUAAAGAAGCACCGGCUAACUACGUG